AGCAGAUGUUGUUAACUGAGACCGCACCUGCUGAGAAUUAAACAGCCAAUUACAAGCUUCCCGGCGUCCUCGCAGACCACCUCUAGGCCAAUUACCGAGGAGUUUUCUAUCUUCUAACCCUUGGAGGAAAAUCUGCGCUCCAGCAGCUGGGACCGAGGCAUGAGAGCGUUGAAUCAUGAGUGGCACCGUUCGCAAAAAUUGGUGUCUUUGUACAAAGACAGUGCCACAACACAACUCAGUGACCAUCGGGAGAGCAGCCUCAUGAUGGGCGAUGCUCCAUCAGUUUUCUCUUGCGAUCUUUUGCAUAGAUCGGUCCCGCCCCGCAUAUGGCGAUGAGGACUCAAGAGACACGGAAAACGUUUUCUUUCUGGAAAACAUGAAAUAGGCUUUGUAGAUGGACAGGAAGUCAAGGGACAAGCGGUGCGCCGCAGAGAGCGAGGACCCACUCUUCUAUUCCUUUGCGGAGGCACGGACACACGGUGUGGCCCGAAACAGCGGCAGGAGAGUGAGACCCGGGCUCCGACCGCGGUGACGCUGUCCUGGUCCCUGGACGGUUAGGAACGGUUGGGUCCUGCUACUGCCUCCGUGGGGCAGGGAGCCUCGCGAGACCAGCACUGCGCCCUACUCGGUCCACCCUGUCCCCGCUCCGCGCUAGGGGCUCACCCUGGGAACAGGGGUCGGGCGAUCCUGGUCAUUGGGGGAUCUUCCGCACUAGCUUCCAUCACAAUACCUGGCAGCUUGCAUCAGGGAUUCUCAGAGGGAUCUGUGACUCAAAAAAAGUUGAGGAUCAUUGCUUAGCCGGGCUCUCAUCUCCUGAAUCAGGGAUCCAGCACAGCACAGGAAAUAGAAGUCAGAAAUAGAGAAAGAUUGUAUGGGGGAAGGAAAUGUGAAGUGCUGAGAUGGUGCCACAGCAUCUUUGGGUCCAGAGUUCUCUCUCAGCUUAGGUAAGACCAUGUCUGAGAUGGAAGAGAGAGGGGUAGAAGGAGAGCAGGAUGGAAUGUCCUCAGAAAGGUUCUGUCAAGCAGGGGUAGGCAGAAGGUAGGCAGAGUCAAAUUCUUCUCCAAUCUGAAGUAGCUCACAGAUUGUUCCACCAAUCUGUGCAACCUCUCUCUAACCUAGGAGGUUGUUGAGGUUAGAACCCAGAAAAGAACUAGGAAAUGUGAAGCCUCCAUUUCAGAGAAUCCUUUGCUGGAAGCCAGGCAUUUCACUGAAGUCCAUUUACUCCCUGGAAUUUCUGCUCCUUUCUAUCAGUCCCUGAGGCAGAGGCUGUAAGGACAUUGGGAGAGGGGACUGAGAAGAAAGAGUAAAAACAAAGAAAAACCCCAACAUCCUGAAUCAGGUGCAUUAGAGUUAAUGAAGAAUGUAAGGACCAAUAACUUAGCCCAGUCCCCACUGAAAGUUCAGAGUGGAUGCAUUGGAAGAUUUCUCCUUUCUUACAGGUCGUGUCCUGCAACUGAAAGGCCCUGGGAGAGAGAGCCGUGAGGGCAUGGCAGUGAGGAUGGCAGUGUGGUGGAAAGGGGGAGUUUUCAAUCAGACAGCCAUGAGCUCAAAUAGCUAGUUACUAUUUACUAACUAGCUCUGUGCACUUGAGCACUUACUCUCUUUGACCUUUAGUUUCACCAGCUAAGAUGCCUCUCUACUUUAUAGGGUUGAUGUAAGGAUUAAAUAAGAAAAUAUAUAUAAAGCCACUGACAUAGAAUAGGCCCUCAAUAAAUGUUAUUUUCUUCUCUUUGAACUGCUGUCCCACCCUGGGCAGAGCCUCCAUUAGAUUGUCCCCAUGAUGUGGUACCAUACAUCCCUGCACAUGGGCCACAAAACUUCUGCAUACACACCACCCACUCAUGUCCUUGGCUGCAUUUGCACACUCAUCAGCACACACACAGCAGCCUGUGCCAUCACAGCUGAGCUGAGGGCAGUCUUCCCGACAGGUAAGAUGAGGGACUGGCAUGCUAACGCUUGGACAAGCUGUGGAAGUGCUCAUCAUAGUAAGCUUGUUUCCUGAAUGGGCUUCACCCCUCAAAAGUGUUCUGGUAAAGCUGUGAAAGGAGACUAAGGGGCUGUGGUGGGACUAACUCCAUAGGCAUUUCCUUGAGAUUAAAUGUGUUUCUUGAGGGAUACUUUGUCCACCCACCACUGCCAAGGAGACCUUAGUCUAUACGCCAGGUUGCAAUGUCUGAAGCUUUGCUGUCCAAUAUGGUAGCCAUUGGCCACAUGUGGCUAUUGAAUGCUUGUAAAGGUAGGUGGUACAGCUGAGGAAUGGAAUUUUAAAUUUGUUUAAUUUAAAAUUUAAGACAGAGAUUCGAUUCAGUUAUUGGAAAAUGUUUUAUGUUUGAAAAAACUUAGAUGUGUGAAUCCACUUUCUCAACAGUGACCUGUAUGAAAUAUAGAUUUUUCUGGUGAAAAUUUAGUAACUGAAUUGCGAUGUUGAGAUGUACUGUAAGUGUAAAAUAUACACUGGAUUUUAAAGACCUAAUAUGAAAAAAUGUUAAAUAUUUUAUGAUUGAUUUUUAUAUUGAUAAUAUAUUGAAAUGAUAAUAGUUUGGGUAUAUUGGGUUAAAUAAAGUAAGUAUUUAAAUGUAUCCGUUUCAUUUUGAUUUUUUAAUUUAGUAGCUACUAGAAAAUUUGAAAUUACAUGUGUGACUUAGAUUCUGUGUCUGUUGGGUAGCUC
RNAcentral lists this long non-coding RNA (2668 nucleotides) under Homo sapiens (human). RNAcentral's name for it is "HSALNT0015171". Lineage: Eukaryota; Metazoa; Chordata; Mammalia; Primates; Hominidae. The record is from RNAcentral.